AUCUUUCUAGUAUCUAAUGUUAGUACAAAUGACUUCCAAUCAUUUAGUCUUGGUUAAAACCCAAGGAAAGAUA
RNAcentral lists this transfer RNA (73 nucleotides) under Psalidodon scabripinnis. Its description in RNAcentral is "tRNA-Gly". It matches the Rfam family "tRNA". Rfam says of the family: Transfer RNA (tRNA) molecules are approximately 80 nucleotides in length. RNAcentral also lists the same sequence under 8 other names. The record is from RNAcentral. Lineage: Eukaryota; Metazoa; Chordata; Actinopteri; Characiformes; Acestrorhamphidae.